CUUCCAGGAAAAGCCUCUAAGCAUCAGGUAACAUCAAAUCGUACCCCAAACCGACACAGGUGGUCAGGUAGAGAAUACCAAGGCGCUUGAGAGAACUCGGGUGAAGGAACUAGGCAAAAUGGUGCCGUAACUUCGGGAGAAGGCACGCUGGUGUGUAGGUGAAGCCCCUGCGGGUGGAGCUGAGACCAGUCGAAGAUACCAGCUGGCUGCAACUGUUUAUUAAAAACACAGCACUGUGCAAACACGAAAGUGGACGUAUACGGUGUGACGCCUGCCCGGUGCCGGAAGGUUAAUUGAUGGGGUUAUCCGUAAGGAGAAGCUCUUGAUCGAAGCCCCGG
This 338-nucleotide ribosomal RNA is filed under the name Klebsiella quasipneumoniae subsp. similipneumoniae. Its description in RNAcentral is "partial 23S ribosomal RNA". It matches the Rfam family "Bacterial large subunit ribosomal RNA", at positions 1605 to 1923 of the family's 2925-position model. Lineage: Bacteria; Pseudomonadati; Pseudomonadota; Gammaproteobacteria; Enterobacterales; Enterobacteriaceae. The record is from RNAcentral.